Molecule: ribosomal RNA, 600 nt
Filed under: uncultured bacterium
Lineage: Bacteria
Description: bacterial SSU rRNA
Rfam family: Bacterial small subunit ribosomal RNA
Source: RNAcentral
GAAGCUUCAGGCCUAACACAUGCAAGUCGAGCGCGCCUUUCGGGGUGAGCGGCGGACGGGUUAGUAACGCGUGGGAAUAUGCCCAAAGGUACGGAAUAGCCUCUGGAAACGGAGAGUAAUACCGUAUGUGCCCUUCGGGGGAAAGAUUUAUCGCCUUUGGAUUAGCCCGCGUUAGAUUAGGUAGUUGGUGGGGUAAUGGCCUACCAAGCCUACGAUCUAUAGCUGGUUUUAGAGGAUGAUCAGCAACACUGGGACUGAGACACGGCCCAGACUCCUACGGGAGGCAGCAGUGGGGAAUCUUGGACAAUGGGGGCAACCCUGAUCCAGCCAUGCCGCGUGAGUGAUGAAGGCCUUAGGGUCGUAAAGCUCUUUCGCCUGUGAAGAUAAUGACGGUAGCAGGUAAAGAAACCCCGGCUAACUCCGUGCCAGCAGCCGCGGUAAUACGGAGGGGGUUAGCGUUGUUCGGAAUUACUGGGCGUAAAGCGCACGCAGGCGGAUCGGAAAGUUGGGGGUGAAAUCCCGGGGCUCAACCCCGGAACUGCCUCCAAAACUAUCGGUCUAGAGUUCGAGAGAGGUGAGUGGAAUUCCGAGUGUAGAGGU